RNAcentral lists this ribosomal RNA (114 nucleotides) under Zingiber officinale. Lineage: Eukaryota; Viridiplantae; Streptophyta; Magnoliopsida; Zingiberales; Zingiberaceae. The record is from RNAcentral.
GCGUUCAUACCAGCACUAAUGCACUGGAUCCCACCAGAACUCCGAAGUUAAGCUUGCUUGGGGAAGGGCAGUACUAGGAUGGGUGACCCCCUGGGAAGUCCUCGUGUUGCACCU